RNAcentral lists this unclassified non-coding RNA (21 nucleotides) under Chlamydomonas reinhardtii. RNAcentral describes it as "small RNA Cre_0181". Lineage: Eukaryota; Viridiplantae; Chlorophyta; Chlorophyceae; Chlamydomonadales; Chlamydomonadaceae. The record is from RNAcentral.
AAUUCCCGAAGCGUCUCCGCG